RNAcentral lists this ribosomal RNA (474 nucleotides) under uncultured bacterium. Its description in RNAcentral is "bacterial SSU rRNA". It matches the Rfam family "Bacterial small subunit ribosomal RNA", at positions 27 to 518 of the family's 1533-position model. The record is from RNAcentral.
GGACGAACGCUGGCGGCGUGCCUAACACAUGCAAGUCGAGCGAGGAGAUCCUUCGGGAUGAUCCUAGCGGCGGACGGGUGAGUAACACGUGGGCAACCUGCCUCAUAGAGAGGAAUAGCCUUCCGAAAGGGAGAUUAAUACCUCAUAACAUUGCAGUUUCGCAUGGAACAGCAAUUAAAGGAGCAAUCCGCUAUGAGAUGGGCCCGCGGCGCAUUAGCUAGUUGGUGAGGUAACGGCUCACCAAGGCGACGAUGCGUAGCCGACCUGAGAGGGUGAUCGGCCACAUUGGGACUGAGACACGGCCCAGACUCCUACGGGAGGCAGCAGUGGGGAAUAUUGCACAAUGGGGGAAACCCUGAUGCAAGCAACGCCGCGUGAGUGAUGACGGCCUUCGGGUUGUAAAGCUCUGUCUUCAGGGACGAUAAUGACGGUACCUGAGGAGGAAGCCACGGCUAACUACGUGCCAGCCGCUGC